Pogonomyrmex barbatus (red harvester ant) is the source of this 1151-nucleotide long non-coding RNA. NCBI's taxonomy places the organism in Eukaryota, Metazoa, Arthropoda, Insecta, Hymenoptera, Formicidae. The record is from RefSeq and is a predicted model, not a curated record.
GCGAGCCCACUCUGGGGGGACUAACAGAAUCCUUUGCUCGGCUGGGUCUCUCCUCCCCCCCCUCCUUCCCGCACGCACACGCACACGCACACGCACACUCCUGACAGAUGUAGAGGAAAACGAAUACCACCGAUCACUUCAGACUCGGCAUACUCGCGCCGCUCUAGGUUGUAAAUCACACACGAGCUGCGCGCGGAACGUGUAAUAACGCGAUCGCCCGAUAAUACGCCGUUACGGCCCCGAUAAAACCGUCGUGUAAGGCCGCGAGAUGCGCGCGCGGAGAAAAGGGCCAUUACGAGUGCGGAAGCCGGCCAAUUUGUCCGAUCCGGACUGACGAGUGCGCGUUAUACCGAGUGUCCCGGGCUCUCCUUUGGUACUCUUUCUCGCUGACGCAUUCGUCGAAGACCAGAAAUGUCCUCUGGACUAUUCUACUCCCCUCUCCUUUCGCCUCGGAUCUAUUCGCGUAAUUAAAUAAGUCAGAUGUACGGUCGCUGGAUUGAGAAUAUUUUUUUUUUUUUUUUUUUUUUUACUAGAUAUUGUAAUCAGCCGCGAUAAAACGAAGGGGAGAGAAAAUUUACUUACUUAGUACCAAGUGGCAAGCACCUGGACUUUGGCAAUAUAAAGAUCAGGUGUGGAUUAUGGAAACAGGACGGAUUUAAAUGACAAUCCGACGGCACUCGCGACGGUACGUCUGUAUUCGAAGGCGAAAAUUCAUUCCGAAGUGCGAGCUGGUGCGGGCUGGAGCGAGGACUUAAAAUAACAUUUUGUUGAAAAACAGUCUAACCGGAUCGGAGAAGACGAGCAGCAGACGGGCAGAUCCGUGUAAACUUGACGCUCACGUACGACGAAAUAGCACACACGAGAGCGAGAUAAUACGCAUAAUGGAUCUACGAGAGGCGACUGUCUGCUAGGUCGAAAGUGACCACGUCGAACGGGGCCGUCAUUCCGUUCGAGGCAAACAGCAACAAACGUUCCCUGGAAGUGCUCUUAUCAAUUAACCGUGGCCUCUGAACCGCGAAUGACCUCACCGAUAUCGUCGUUUCAGCUGAUUUCUCGGUCUUUCGUCAACUCACGAAACGAGAUACCGAUACGAUGACAGGGAGAAAUAUGCCGAUUAACUUCCGUUUAUGCAAAAUAAAUGACCUUUGGAA